AGUCGAGCGAACAGACGAGGAGCUUGCUCCUCUGACGUUAGCGGCGGACGGGUGAGUAACACGUGGAUAACCUACCUAUAAGACUGGGAUAACUUCGGGAAACCGGAGCUAAUACCGGAUAAUAUAUUGAACCGCAUGGUUCAAUAGUGAAAGACGGUUUUGCUGUCACUUAUAGAUGGAUCCGCGUCGCAUUAGCUAGUUGGUAAGGUAACGGCUUACCAAGGCAACGAUGCGUAGCCGACCUGAGAGGGUGAUCGGCCACACUGGAACUGAGACACGGUCCAGACUCCUACGGGAGGCAGCAGUAGGGAAUCUUCCGCAAUGGGCGAAAGCCUGACGGAGCAACGCCGCGUGAGUGAUGAAGGUCUUCGGAUCGUAAAACUCUGUUAUUAGGGAAGAACAAAUGUGUAAGUAACUAUGCACGCCUUGACGGUACCUAAUCAGAAAGCCACGGCUAACUACGUGCCAGCAGCCGCGGUAAUACGUAGGUGGCAAGCGUUAUCCGGAAUUAUUGGGCGUAAAGCGCGCGUAGGCGGUUUUUUAAGUCUGAUGUGAAAGCCCACGGCUCAACCGUGGAGGGUCAUUGGAAACUGAAAAACUUGAGUGCAGAAGAGGAAAGUGGAAUUCCAUGUGUAGCGGUGAAAUGCGCAGAGAUAUGGAGGAACACCAGUGGCGAAGGCGACUUUCUGGUCUGUAACUGACGCUGAUGUGCGAAAG
RNAcentral lists this ribosomal RNA (717 nucleotides) under uncultured Staphylococcus sp. Its description in RNAcentral is "bacterial SSU rRNA". It matches the Rfam family "Bacterial small subunit ribosomal RNA", at positions 60 to 759 of the family's 1533-position model. The record is from RNAcentral. Lineage: Bacteria; Bacillati; Bacillota; Bacilli; Caryophanales; Staphylococcaceae.